ACUAAGCGUACACGGUGGAUGCCCUGGCAGUCAGAGGCGAUGAAGGGCGUGCUAAUCUGCGAUAAGCGCCGGUAAGGUGAUAUGAACCGUUAUAACCGGCGAUACCCGAAUGGGGAAACCCAGUGUGAUUCGUCACACUAUCAUUAACUGAAUCCAUAGGUUAAUGAGGCGAACCGGGGGAACUGAAACAUCUAAGUACCCCGAGGAAAAGAAAUCAACCGAGAUUCCCCCAGUAGCGGCGAGCGAACGGGGAGGAGCCCAGAGCCUGAAUCAGCAUGUGUGUUAGUGGAAGCGUCUGGAAAGGCGCGCGAUACAGGGUGACAGCCCCGUACACAAAAGCGCAUGUGCUGUGAGCUCGAUGAGUAGGGCGGGACACGUGGUAUCCUGUCUGAAUAUGGGGGGACCAUCCUCCAAGGCUAAAUACUCCUGACUGACCGAUAGUGAACCAGUACCGUGAGGGAAAGGCGAAAAGAACCCCGGCGAGGGGAGUGAAAAAGAACCUGAAACCGUGUACGUACAAGCAGUGGGAGCCCGUGACUGCGUACCUUUUGUAUAAUGGGUCAGCGACUUAUAUUCUGUAGCAAGGUUAACCGAAUAGGGGAGCCGGAGGGAAACCGAGUCUUAAUUGGGCGUUAAGUUGCAGGGUAUAGACCCGAAACCCGGUGAUCUAGCCAUGGGCAGGUUGAAGGUUGGGUAACACUAACUGGAGGACCGAACCGACUAAUGUUGAAAAAUUAGCGGAUGACCUGUGGCUGGGGGUGAAAGGCCAAUCAAACCGGGAGAUAGCUGGUUCUCCCCGAAAGCUAUUUAGGUAGCGCCUCGUGAAUUCAUCUCCGGGGGUAGAGCACUGUUUCGGCUAGGGGGCCAUCCCGGCUUACCAACCCGAUGCAAACUGCGAAUACCGGAGAAUGUUAUCACGGGAGACACACGGCGGGUGCUAACGUCCGUCGUGAAGAGGGAAACAACCCAGACCGCCAGCUAAGGUCCCAAAGUCAUGGUUAAGUGGGAAACGAUGUGGGAAGGCCCAGACAGCCAGGAUGUUGGCUUAGAAGCAGCCAUCAUUUAAAGAAAGCGUAAUAGCUCACUGGUCGAGUCGGCCUGCGCGGAAGAUGUAACGGGGCUAAACCAUGCACCGAAGCUGCGGCAGCGAACGUUGGGUAGGGGAGCGUUCUGUAAGCCUGUGAAGGUGGCCUGUGAGGGUUGCUGGAGGUAUCAGAAGUGCGAAUGCUGACAUAAGUAACGAUAAAGCGGGUGAAAAGCCCGCUCGCCGGAAGACCAAGGGUUCCUGUCCAACGUUAAUCGGGGCAGGGUGAGUCGACCCCUAAGGCGAGGCCGAAAGGCGUAGUCGAUGGGAAACGGGUUAAUAUUCCCGUACUUGGUGUUACUGCGAAGGGGGGACGGAGAAGGCUAUGUUGGCCGGGCGACGGUUGUCCCGGUUUAAGCGUGUAGGCUGGUUUUCCAGGCAAAUCCGGAAAAUCAAGGCUGAGGCGUGACGACGAGGCACUACGGUGCUGAAGCAACAAAUGCCCUGCUUCCAGGAAAAGCCUCUAAGCAUCAGGUAACAUCAAAUCGUACCCCAAACCGACACAGGUGGUCAGGUAGAGAAUACCAAGGCGCUUGAGAGAACUCGGGUGAAGGAACUAGGCAAAAUGGUGCCGUAACUUCGGGAGAAGGCACGCUGACACGUAGGUGAAGUGAUUUACUCAUGGAGCUGAAGUCAGUCGAAGAUACCAGCUGGCUGCAACUGUUUAUUAAAAACACAGCACUGUGCAAACACGAAAGUGGACGUAUACGGUGUGACGCCUGCCCGGUGCCGGAAGGUUAAUUGAUGGGGUCAGCGCAAGCGAAGCUCCUGAUCGAAGCCCCGGUAAACGGCGGCCGUAACUAUAACGGUCCUAAGGUAGCGAAAUUCCUUGUCGGGUAAGUUCCGACCUGCACGAAUGGCGUAAUGAUGGCCAGGCUGUCUCCACCCGAGACUCAGUGAAAUUGAACUCGCUGUGAAGAUGCAGUGUACCCGCGGCAAGACGGAAAGACCCCGUGAACCUUUACUAUAGCUUGACACUGAACAUUGAGCCUUGAUGUGUAGGAUAGGUGGGAGGCUUUGAAGUGACUCCCUAUAAUGCGCCUCCAUCGACACGGCGGAUGUGAAUCACUUCACACAAACAGCCGGUCGGUUGAAGAGAAAAAUCCUGAAAUUCAGGGUUGACUCUGAAAGAGGAAAGCGUAAUAUACGCCACCUCGCAACGGUGAGCGAAAGCCGCGUUGCACUGCUCUUUAACAAUUUAUCAGACAAUCUGUGUGGGCACUCGAAGAUACGGAUUCUUAACGUCCUCGGACGAAAAAUGAAUACCAAGUCUCAAGAGUGAACACGUAAUUCAUUACGAAGUUUAAUUCUUUGAGCAUCAAACUUUUAAAUUGAAGAGUUUGAUCAUGGCUCAGAUUGAACGCUGGCGGCAGGCCUAACACAUGCAAGUCGAACGGUAACAGGAAGCAGCUUGCUGCUUCGCUGACGAGUGGCGGACGGGUGAGUAAUGUCUGGGAAACUGCCUGAUGGAGGGGGAUAACUACUGGAAACGGUGGCUAAUACCGCAUAACGUCGCAAGACCAAAGAGGGGGACCUUCGGGCCUCUUGCCAUCAGAUGUGCCCAGAUGGGAUUAGCUAG
RNAcentral lists this ribosomal RNA (2663 nucleotides) under Salmonella enterica subsp. enterica serovar Anatum. Its description in RNAcentral is "bacterial LSU rRNA". It matches the Rfam family "Bacterial large subunit ribosomal RNA", at positions 1 to 2329 of the family's 2925-position model. The record is from RNAcentral. Lineage: Bacteria; Pseudomonadati; Pseudomonadota; Gammaproteobacteria; Enterobacterales; Enterobacteriaceae.